AGGUAGUAAUAAAAAUAAAACCUCUUUAUAAAGGCGGCAUUAAUUUUAAUUAAAGGAACUUGUUAAUUAAUCGAUAACCCACGUUAUAUUUUACUUAAGUAUACAAUUUAUAUAUCGCCAUCUUAAGAAUUUAUAAAUUUAAAUAUUCACAAUAAUAAUUAAUAAGUUAGGUCAAGGUGUAGUCUUAAUUUAAGUUUAUAUGAGUUACUUUAAAUAAGAUUUAAGGAUAAUUUUUUUAAAAAAUUCUUUUAAAAAGGAUUUAAAAAUAAUUUAUAAAUAACAAUUAUAUAUGAAUUAAAUUAUAAAUGUGU
Molecule: ribosomal RNA, 311 nt
Filed under: Pteroneta cf. saltans MR368
Lineage: Eukaryota; Metazoa; Arthropoda; Arachnida; Araneae; Clubionidae
Description: partial 12S ribosomal RNA
Source: RNAcentral